UCAAAAUAAAUGAGCUGAAAAAUGGAUACAAAUCAAAACGAGCACACUAUGUAAUUAAUGAAUUACAUAGAUACUUCACGCAUAUCAUUAUUCAUUAUUCCGCGCUAUAUAUAUAUCGAAAAUAUACGCAGAAAUUACGGGAUGUAUACUUUCUGCAACAACAUUUCGUUGUAUUCAAUUCUCUGCUCCAAAGAUCCUCUUUUCAGCACACCCAUGUAGAAAUACUAUCCACAUAUAAUAUCAAGGCAUCUUUUAAUCUCAUCUGUUUCCCUUCCUCUAAUCGCAGCAAAGGUCACACAGCCAGCAGCAGCAUAGUGCGGCGAUGCUGAUAAAGCACAACCAAUAAGUACAUCAUUAUUCAGACAAUAAUUUUAAAAUUAGAGCAUAUGGAUGGGGAGUGUAUUUUAAUUAGUUACCAUCCAUCGAUGAAUCUGGUCUUUCUCCCGCGAGCCGUCGUUCGUCCGCGGCCGCCGUGCUCUGAAUCCACCGUCGGGUAGCCUGACGAAAGCGAAACCAAAUUAAUAACAAAAAAAAAAACCAAAAGUAUGAUCGAUGCUAGAAAUUAAUUAAGACCACAGAAGUGUACUCCCUCCGUACUCAUAAAGGAAGUCGUUUUGGACAGCGACACGGUGUUCAAAACACAACUUUGACUUCUUGUUUCAAAUAAAAAUAUUUAUUGAAAAGUGAUAUAUGUAUACUUUUAUGAAAGUAUUUUUCAAGACAAAUUUAUUCAUAUAAUUUUUACAUUUUCAAAUUCAACAACUUAAGAGUUAUUAAUGAUUUAUAUUCUCAAGGUUUGACUUAAACAUUGUACUAAACGACUUCCUUUAUGAGUACGGAGGGAGUACAUGUAUAUAUACUUGGUUGCUUAAUUAAUUGACCAAUAAUUAAAUACCUGGUGGUGGUUGCAGGUUCUUGUUGUUGCUGUCCAUGCUAGCUACACACUGGCUGCGUUCUACUGCGAAUUUAUAGCUAGCUAGCUCGCACUACUAGAUCAAGGAGAGGUUUCUUUGAUCAAGUAGCUAGCUGCGUUAAUUUCUUUGUCAAAUUUGUGUUGUUU
RNAcentral lists this long non-coding RNA (1060 nucleotides) under Oryza sativa (Asian cultivated rice). RNAcentral describes it as "long non-coding RNA (OSAT_LNC000991)". Lineage: Eukaryota; Viridiplantae; Streptophyta; Magnoliopsida; Poales; Poaceae. The record is from RNAcentral.